RNAcentral lists this ribosomal RNA (253 nucleotides) under uncultured bacterium. Its description in RNAcentral is "partial 16S ribosomal RNA". It matches the Rfam family "Bacterial small subunit ribosomal RNA", at positions 524 to 776 of the family's 1533-position model. The record is from RNAcentral.
UACAGAGGUCUCAAGCGUUGUUCGGAUUCAUUGGGCGUAAAGGGUGCGUAGGCGGCUUGGUAAGUCGGGGGUGAAAUCUCGGAGCUUAACUCCGAAACUGCAUUCGAUACUGCCGUGCUUGAGGACUGGAGAGGAGACUGGAAUUUACGGUGUAGCGGUGAAAUGCGUAGAUAUCGUAAGGAAGACCAGUGGCGAAGGCGGUUCUCUGGACAGUACCUGACGCUGAGGCACGAAGGCCAGGGGAGCAAACGGG